Molecule: unclassified non-coding RNA, 213 nt
Filed under: Hevea brasiliensis (rubber tree)
Lineage: Eukaryota; Viridiplantae; Streptophyta; Magnoliopsida; Malpighiales; Euphorbiaceae
Source: RNAcentral
GCCUGAUAGUCGAUUGUUGGACAAUUCUAAUACUCUCAAUAGGCUCAUUUUGCCAAUUGAUGAAGGAAUGCCACCAAUGAGCCCAUUUCUAGAUAAGUAUAGAGAAUCUAAAUUUGGAAAACUUACUCCAAUUUCUGUUGGAAUGGAACCAUUGAAGUAAUUGCUAAAGAGAUCUAAGUGUGAAAUAUACACAUGGGAAUGAAUUGGCAAGUG